ACCUAAGUGAAGAAAAAAAGACAAGCAAGGUUGGAAGUUUAGUUAUGUUCAAUGCCAUAUAUAUUGAAUGGCUGAAGAUAAAUGCCCUAUCCCAAUAAGGUAUUUUUCAGCCACAUAACUGAGUCAAUAGGCCAAACUCUGUACUGAUUUACACUCUGUUCAAUCUUAUUGAGUUCAAAGGGUUUGCACAAAGAAAAGCCAAUGCAGAAUUUGGCAGAAAAUAUUCAAUACAAUGCCACAAAACUUAGAUCUUGGAUGAAAUGCGUUACCAUCCAUUUAAUUAUGAAGGACAGUUCAGAAAAAUGAGCAAUCUUUAUACUGGCUGAUGACAAUUACAAGGCCUGUUCAAACUCAGCAACAAGUAUAUCUUGAACUGAUAAAUGCUUCAGACAGUACAGUCAGCCUAUGAAAUGCAUUUUCACAGGAAGCUGGACUUGUAGCUGUAUUUUGAAAAAAGGAAAGAAUUCCUGACAUUAGGAACAGCUAUGCAAUCAAGUCACAUGCUUCAGAGUACAAAGCGAGCAACAAAAGCAUCAGAAAGGAAUCCCUCUUCCCAAAUACAGCAUUGCGUAUUACAAGAAUUUGGCCUACCUCUACAGCAACAGUAUUAGACUUGACUGUGUAUGUCAAGUCCUUUGAUCUUAAACACCAUACUAGGUCUUAUACAAGCUAGUAAACACAGUAGUUAUGCAUAUGCAAUACCACCACAUUAGCAUUUCUGAAAUCCACAGACAACUGCAAAUGCAGCAUUAAGGUUUCUAAUGGAAACUGCUUUGAAAUUAAGCAGCAGUGUCAACUGAACCCAUUAAUACUUUUUCAGUGAGACAUGCAUAAUUCUUUAUUAGAUUUGUAACUAAAGUUAAAAAUCUGCUUGAUAUGAGUGAAGUUCAUCAACCAUAUCUUCUUACACUGAAAGUGUUUCAGAACAGUGGGUUUUCAAUGCCCACCCUGACAGAGAAUUGAGCGUGUGGACAUUUAAUAGGUCAAAUACUACUAACCUUUCAGAAGUUACAAAAAGCAGGAGAAAGGGGAUAAAUGCUCUUCCUGAUAACAUACCGUGAACAGUACAAUUACAAUUCCUCUACAGAGACACUUCUGUUCCCUAAGUCUUGGUCUUUAGAGGACAGACCUUAUUAACAAAUAAAUUGCAGGAGAUCAGCUGCAUUAUAUUUAAAAAAGUGAAUGAAUAUUGCACACAAGGUACACAGCAACUAGCUGGUAGCUCACAUCGCAGUGGACGUAACUGGUGUUGCUCUAUCCCUUCCCAGUGAUCCAUGAAAAGCCAAUGGUUCACUGAUAUUGUGACAACAUGGUGAGUGGCUUACUUCAGUCAUUUGCAUGUUACUAUAAUGUUAAACUAUCAUCAUAGAUCAAAAGUAAUGGUACAUUCAUUUGCACAAAAAAAUUCAAUUCAAGUGACACCUUACUUGCCCACAACAGAACCGCAGAAAUAAUCUGCUGCGCAUUGACUUAUACAACUUGAUUACAUAGGACUGCUGAUGAGGCAGUUAGUAUCAUUAUGAUAAAGCCAUGCUAACCAAAAAGCAAUCAUUCAGCAGGUAAACUGAAAAGACAGCUAGAAGAUGCAAGUAAUUUAAUUUACUAAUGUGACAUAUAUUGCAGGUUUGAUUUGAACAUGCAUUCUCACAGAAGAAAAAAAAAAUUACAGUUCUUUAAAGGGACACAUUUGACUAACCACAUUUCCACCUAAGUGUUCUUACCAUUAUAACUCAUAAUCACUAUAAAAGAUUCAAGCAGAAAGUAUUUCGGUUCUUUAGUUUGUUCAUUUGAGUGUACUUUUUGUACUGCCAGUUUCAUUGUUUUGUGGAAGGAAUAAAAUAAAGCCUUCCCCAGGCUCUUCAAGAAUAUGCUUUACCUGUAUUAGCAACUCUGACAAUGAAAUCAAAGGAAGAAAUAGAGAAAACAUGCACGAGAGGAAGAAGGGGUAAGCCUGAGCACAUUUGCUCUUUUGAAGGUUGUUUUCAAAGGGCCCCAAAAGAAAUAAUUAACAAGGAGCAGAACAUUCCUUUUAAAAUAGUUUUUAAAAUUUUCAAAAAUAUGUUUAAGGGAGCCCAUAAAAUUCCUUAAAAAAUAAAGUUGAAAGAUAAUUCUUAAAAAGGAAGUCCCUUCAACAAUCAAAGGAAUGGCUUUGCAUUUUCAAUUACCAAUGAUGUGUCUAAAGUAAUUGUUAAUUUUUAAUAUAAUGGAAACAUGUACCAUUUUUUCUAUUAAUAAUGAAUGCAAAUAAUCAAUCUUUCAGCAGAUGCUCUGCUGAAAACAGCCUUGUGAUUAGUCAUGAGGACUUCCAACAUAACCGGCAACAUACGACUAACCGACCAGUAGUUUCUAUGUUCCUACUGAGCUACUGAACUGAAGCUCAGUAAAUUCACUGGUCAAGCACAGGGUGGGCAGAGGAAAUCACCCCAAAUUUUGACCUUUGUACGAUCUCUGGUAAGGUCAAUCUGGAUUAUUAGCUUUCAACUGCUCAGGUACCCUCUGAAUCCUAUCAUGAAGUUUGGGCUUCCAGGCUGCCGCCAGGCCCUCAAUUUUUACUUAACCAGCAUGGGAGGGGGGCCAGGUCCUGGCUUCUGUUAAAGUGAACAGAUUUGGGAAAUGGUUAGAUUGAAUCAGAGGGCCUUGGCUGUUUUGUGGCAGCUGAGUACAGUGAAUAGAGGGCAAGGGUUCCUCAAGUGGAAAGGCAUGCUUGCAGAAUCCAGAUAUCCUCAGUACCAUUUAAUGAAUAUUAGCAAGAGAGAAAAUGCACAGCAAAUACCAAUACCUGCAGCAACCUUACAGAGGAUCUGUUAUCAUUCCAUUUAUAUUUAAGAGAACAAGGAUGUCUAAGCAGCUCAAUGCUACACAAUGUACUUGGGGCAAAAAGACAUCUCCACAACUCACCUAUAAGCCACAGCCAAUGUAAGGAAGAUACUUUAAAGAAUAUUUAAUUAACAGCCACACAGAAGGUGCUGUGAACAGGAAUGAAAGGAGCCAAAAGGAAGUUACAGACUCCCCAAAAGCAGUAGUUAUUUCAUUAAAGUUUUGGGAGACUAAGAACUUGUUUUCCUUUAAAAGUAGGCUUAUCUUCAGCAAAACCACAGACAUAAUAUUUCAUAUUAAGUAGCGGAGAUACUGUCACAAAGAAAAUUAAAUGCACCUACCUGCAUGAAGCAUCCAGGCAAGGUGUUUAGUACCAGGAUUACCUUCAUAGGAUAUUGACCUAACCAGCAUCCCAGCACCAAUCAUAGC
Molecule: long non-coding RNA, 3246 nt
Organism: Dermochelys coriacea (leatherback sea turtle)
Lineage: Eukaryota; Metazoa; Chordata; Testudines; Dermochelyidae
Exons: 2
Source: RefSeq, a predicted model, not a curated record